GAAUGAGAGCUUAUGAAUGUGGGGGAGGCGGAGCUUAUGGAGGGGGCGGAGCCACCCAAAGCCCCGCCCACCUGUAGGUGUACAGCCCCGGCCCGGUGCUCCCCGCUCCUCCCCCCGGUGCCCCCCCGCAUGAUUACUUGCCCAUCGCCGUGCUCACCACCCUCUGCUGCUUCUGGCCCACCGGCGUCGUCGCCAUCGUCAAGGCCGUGCAGGUUGGGGGGGACGGGGGAGGGGGACAUUGGGAUUUUGGGGUCCUUCAUUGGGAUUUUGGGGUCUUUCUUGUGUCUGUGAGAUCAUUUGUUGGAGUCUUGUGGUCAUUUGUUGCGUUCUUCGGGCUCUCCGUUGAGUUUUGGGGUCAUUCAUUGGGAUUUUGCGGUCAUUUGUUGGGGUUUUGGGGUCUUUCUUGUGUCGAUGGGGUCAUCCGUCGGAGUCUUGUGGUCAUUGUGUGGGUUCUUGGGGCUCUCGGUUGAUUUUGGGGGUCACUCAUUGGGAUUUUGGGGUCAUUUGUUGGGAUUUUGGGGUCAUUUGUUGGCUUUUGGGGACGUUCAUUGGGGUCCUGUGGUCGUUGUGUGGGUUUUUGGGGGCUCUCCGUUGAGUUUUGGGGUCUCUCAUUGGGAUUUUGGGGUCAGUUGUUGGGGUUUUGGGGACUUUCUUGUCCUCCGUUGGAGCCUUGUGGUUGCUGUGUGGGUUUUUGGGGUUCUCCGUUGAAUUUGGGGGUCAUUUAUUGGAUUUGGGGGUCAUUUAUUGGGUUUUGGGGAUGUUCCUUGGGGUUUUGUGGUCGUUGUGUGGGUUUUGGAGGCUCUCUGUUGAGAUUUGGGGUCAUUCAUUGGGAUUUUGGGGUCGUUCAUUGGGAUUUUGGGGCCAUUUGUUGGUGUUCUGUGGUCAUUGUGUGGGUUUUUGGGCUCUCAGUUGAGUCUUGGGGUCAUUCACUGGGAUUUUGGGGUCAUUUGUUGGGUUUUGGGGUCUUCCGUUGGGUUUUGGUUGAGGUCAGUUGGGGUUUUGGGGUGUUUUGUUGGGGUUUGGGGGUCUCCUGUUUGGGUUUUGGGGUCUUCUGUUGGGUUUUGGUUGAGGUUGGUUGGGGUUUUGGGGUCUUCCGUUGGGUUUUGGUUGAGGUCGGUUGGGGUUUCGGGGUCUCCGCUUUGGGUUUUGGGGUCACCUGUUGGGUUCUGGUUGAGGUCGGUUGGGGUUUUGGGGUCUUCCGUUGGGUUUUGGUUGAGGUCGGUUGGGGUUUUGGGGUCUCCCCUUUGGGUUUUGGGGUCUUCCGUUGGGUUUUGGUUGAGGUCAGUUGGGGUUUGGGGGCAUUUCGUUGGGAUUUUGAGGUCUUCCAUUCGACUGUUGGGGUCUGUUCUUGGGGUUUUGGGGUCUCCUGCUGGGUUUUUGGGGUCUACUCUUGGGCUUUUGGGGUCUUUGUUGAGCCCCGUUGGGUUCUUGUUGACAUCGGUGGGGUUUUCGGGGUUCUCCGUGGGGUUUUUGGGGCAAAUUGUUGGGUUUUGGGGGCAAAUUGUUGGGUUUUCGGGGCCGUGCGUUGGGAUCUUGGGGUCCUUGGUUGCAUUUUGGGGGUCCCAGGGCCCCCUGUGGGGAUCCCUCAUCUCAUUGGUGGAAUCCCCGCUGCCCUCACCGUCCCACGUGACCCACACGUCCCCACCCCCAGCCCCACACGGCGCCCGGAGCCACGCCCCCUCGCUGCGCCAAUCCCACGAGUCCUCAUUGGCUGACGCCGGCCGUGCCAAUACCUGAUUGGACACCGCCGGCAUCACAGCUGCGACCCCAUUGGUCGGCCCCGUGCGGGCAGCGCUCCCGUUGGCCAACGCGGCGCCAUCUCUUCCCUCAUUGGCCAGGCCUGCCGGCACUUGUCGCUGAUUGGCCGCCGCCCUGUGGGCUGAAGCUCCGCCUUCCAUCACAGCCAAUGGGAUCCUGGGCUGUGGGAGAAAAGGAAUGGGGCAAGCUUAGGGGGCGGGGCAUGAGGAGUGGGCGUGGCUGGGGGCGUGGUCAAAGGGGGGCGUGGCCACACAAAGGGGGCGUGGCCACCCCAAGGGCUGGGGCGCACUAAGAGGUGUGCCCAUCACCGGGGGGGCGUGGCUACAGCAGUGGGCGUGGCCAAACGAAGGGGUGGGGCCUCAGAGAGGGGCGUGGCCACAUCAAAAGACACGUGGUCUCCAAGGGGGCGUGGCCACGUUGAUAAAGGGCGUGGCCUCGCAUUGGGGGGUGGGCACAGAAGGGGGCGUGGCCUCCCAACGGGGCGUGGCCACAGAAAAUGGGCGUGGCCUCCAGGGGGUGUGUGGGCAUGAUAAUAGGGCGGGGACUCAAAUGGGGGAGUGGCCUCCAAGAGGGGGCGUGGUCUCAGAGUUGGGGCGUGGCCUCAAAUGGGGCGUGGCCACACGAAGGGGGCGUGGUCUUCUGGGGGCGUGGGCACACCAAAGGGGCGUGGCCAACCGGGGGCGUGGCCACAUUGAAUGGCCGUGGCCUCUAAGGGGGCGGGGCCACAACAAGGUCCAAUGGGGUGUGGCCACAGCACAGGGGCGUGGUCUCAGAGGGGGGCGUGGUCACACCCGAGGGGCGUGGCCUCAAAUGGGGCGUGGCCACAACGAAAGGGGCGUGGCCACACGAAAGGGGCGUGGCCACACGAAGGGGGCGUGGUCUCAUGUGGGCGUGGGCACACCAAAGGGGUUUGGCCAACUGGGGGGCGUGGACACAUUGAAUGGGCGUGGCCUCAAAUGGGGCGUGGCCACAACGAAAGGGGCGUGGCCACAACGAAAGGGGCGUGGCCAACUGGGGGGCGUGGCCACAUCAAAUGGGUGCGGCUCCAAGGGGUGAGGCCACAUUUAAAAGGGCGUGGCCUCUCGGGGGCGUGGCCACAAUAAAGGGGCGUGGCCAACCA
Molecule: long non-coding RNA, 2878 nt
Organism: Numida meleagris (helmeted guineafowl)
Lineage: Eukaryota; Metazoa; Chordata; Aves; Galliformes; Numididae
Source: Ensembl